GACACGACUCUCGGCAAUGGAUAUCUCGGCUCUCGCAUCGAUGAAGAGCGCAGCGAA
Molecule: ribosomal RNA, 57 nt
Filed under: Cyrtorchis chailluana
Lineage: Eukaryota; Viridiplantae; Streptophyta; Magnoliopsida; Asparagales; Orchidaceae
Description: partial 5.8S ribosomal RNA
Rfam family: 5.8S ribosomal RNA
About the family: 5.8S ribosomal RNA (5.8S rRNA) is a component of the large subunit of the eukaryotic ribosome. It is transcribed by RNA polymerase I as part of the 45S precursor that also contains 18S and 28S rRNA.
Source: RNAcentral